UACAGGGGGUGCAAACGUUGCUCGGAAUCAUUGGGCGUAAAGCGCACGCAGGCGGUUCGUUAUGUCGGAUGUGAAAGCCCUUGGCUUAACCGAGGAAGUGCAUCCGAAACUGGCGAGCUAGAGUACUAAAGAGGAUCGCGGAAUUCCCGGUGUAGAGGUGAAAUUCGUAGAUAUCGGGAGGAACACCGGUGGCGAAGGCGGCGAUCUGGGUAGAUACUGACGCUGAGGUGCGAAAGCGUGGGGAGCAAACAGG
RNAcentral lists this ribosomal RNA (253 nucleotides) under uncultured bacterium. Its description in RNAcentral is "partial 16S ribosomal RNA". It matches the Rfam family "Bacterial small subunit ribosomal RNA", at positions 524 to 776 of the family's 1533-position model. The record is from RNAcentral.